GACCCGUGAUCCGGGUUGCGGACAGUGUCUGGUGGGUAGUUUGACUGGGGCGGUCUCCUCCUAAAGAGUAACGGAGGAGCACGAAGGUUGGCUAAUCCUGGUCGGACAUCAGGAGGUUAGUGCAAUGGCAUAAGCCAGCUUGACUGCGAGCGUGACGGCGCGAGCAGGUGCGAAAGCAGGUCAUAGUGAUCCGGUGGUUCUGAAUGGAAGGGCCAUCGCUCAACGGAUAAAAGGUACUCCGGGGAUAACAGGCUGAUACCGCCCAAGAGUUCAUAUCGACGGCGGUGUUUGGCACCUCGAUGUCGGCUCAUCACAUCCUGGGGCUGAAGUAGGUCCCAAGGGUAUGGCUGUUCGCCAUUUAAAGUGGUACGCGAGCUGGGUUUAGAACGUCGUGAGACAGUUCGGUCCCUAUCUGCCGUGGGCGCUGGAGAACUGAGGGGGGCUGCUCCUAGUACGAGAGGACCGGAGUGGACGCAUCACUGGUGUUCGGGUUGUCAUGCCAAUGGCACUGCCCGGUAGCUAAAUGCGGAAGAGAUAAGUGCUGAAAGCAUCUAAGCACGAAACUUGCCCCGAGAUGAGUUCUCCCUGACUCCUUGAGAGUCCUGAAGGAACGUUGAAGACGACGACGUUGAUAGGCCGGGUGUGUAAGCGCAGCGAUGCGUUGAGCUAACCGGUACUAAUGAACCGUGAGGCUUAACCUUACAACGCCGAAG
This 713-nucleotide ribosomal RNA is filed under the name Escherichia coli. Its description in RNAcentral is "bacterial LSU rRNA". It matches the Rfam family "Bacterial large subunit ribosomal RNA", at positions 2230 to 2925 of the family's 2925-position model. The record is from RNAcentral. Lineage: Bacteria; Pseudomonadati; Pseudomonadota; Gammaproteobacteria; Enterobacterales; Enterobacteriaceae.